Molecule: ribosomal RNA, 484 nt
Filed under: uncultured bacterium
Lineage: Bacteria
Description: partial 16S ribosomal RNA
Rfam family: Bacterial small subunit ribosomal RNA
Source: RNAcentral
AGUGAACGCUGGCGGCAGGCCUAACACAUGCCAGUCGAGCGGCAGCGGGUCCUUCGGGAUGCCGGCGAGCGGCGGACGGGUGAGGAAUGCGUCGGAAUCUGCCUUUUUGUGGGGGAUAACGUAGGGAAACUUACGCUAAUACCGCAUACGACCUACGGGUGAAAGUGGGGGACCGCAAGGCCUCACGCAUAAAGAUGAGCCGACGUCGGAUUAGCUAGUUGGCGGGGUAAAGGCCCACCAAGGCGACGAUCCGUAGCUGGUCUGAGAGGAUGAUCAGCCACACUGGAACUGAGACACGGUCCAGACUCCUACGGUAGGCAGCAGUGGGGAAUAUUGGACAAUGGGCGCAAGCCUGAUCCAGCCAUGCCGCGUGUGUGAAGAAGGCCUUCGGGUUGUAAAGCACUUUUGUCCGGAAAGAAAUCCUGUCGGCUAAUACCCGGCGGGGAUGACGGUACCGUAAGAAUAAGCGCCGGCUAACUUCGUG